This 369-nucleotide ribosomal RNA is filed under the name uncultured phototrophic eukaryote. RNAcentral's name for it is "SSU rRNA". It matches the Rfam family "Bacterial small subunit ribosomal RNA", at positions 524 to 896 of the family's 1533-position model. The record is from RNAcentral.
UACGGGGGAUGCAAGCGUUAUCCGGAAUCAUUGGGCGUAAAGCGCCUGUAGGUUGUUUAAUAAGUCUGUUGUUAAAGACUAGGGCUUAACCCUAGAAAAGCAAUGGAAACUGUUAGACUAGAGUAUGGCAGGGGUAGAGGGAAUUUCUAGUGUAGCGGUGAAAUGCGUAGAUAUUAGAAAGAACACCAGUGGCGAAAGCGCUCUACUGGACCAUUACUGACACUCAGAGGCGAAAGCUAGGGUAGCAAAAGGGAUUAGAUACCCCUGUAGUCCUAGCCGUAAACGAUGGAUACUAGAUGUUGCAUAUAAUUUGCAGUAUCCUAGCUAACGCGUUAAGUAUCCCGCCUGGGGAGUACGCUCGCAAGGGUG